This 59-nucleotide non-coding RNA is filed under the name uncultured Vexilliferidae. Lineage: Eukaryota; Discosea; Flabellinia; Dactylopodida; Vexilliferidae. The record is from RNAcentral.
GUUUUUUGUACUGAGCUUGCUCAUUUUGGAAUAAAAAUUUAAUCAAGCAAACGAAAAAA